AAUAGAUACCCGGGUAGUCCACGCCGUAAACGAUGAAUACUAGGUGUGGGAGUUAUCGUGACUUCCGUGCCGCAGUUAACACAAUAAGUAUUCCGCCUGGGGAGCACGGUCGCAAGAUUAAAACUCAAAGGAAUUGACGGGGGCCCGCACAAGCAGCGGAGCAUGUGGUUUAAUUCGAAGCAACGCGAAGAACCUUACCUAGACUUGACAUCAUUCUGCAUACUCAGUAAUGUGAGGAAGCCUCCUUUUCGGGGGCGGAAUGACAGGUGGUGCAUGGUUGUCGUCAGCUCGUGUCGUGAGAUGUUGGGUUAAGUCCCGCAACGAGCGCAACCCUUGUCGUUAGUUGCUACCAUUAAGUUGAGCACUCUAGCGAGACUGCCGCGGUUAACGCGGAGGAAGGUGGGGAUGACGUCAAAUCAUCAUGCCCCUUAUGUCUAGGGCUACACACGUGCUACAAUGGGCAGUACAAUGUGAUGCAAUCCCGUGAGGGGGAGCUAAACACGAAAACUGUUCCCAGUUCGGAUUGCG
This 528-nucleotide ribosomal RNA is filed under the name uncultured bacterium. RNAcentral's name for it is "bacterial SSU rRNA". It matches the Rfam family "Bacterial small subunit ribosomal RNA", at positions 777 to 1302 of the family's 1533-position model. The record is from RNAcentral.